Molecule: ribosomal RNA, 200 nt
Filed under: uncultured bacterium
Lineage: Bacteria
Description: partial 16S ribosomal RNA
Rfam family: Bacterial small subunit ribosomal RNA
Source: RNAcentral
UACGGAGGGUGCAAGCGUUAAUCGGAAUUACUGGGCGUAAAGCGCGCGUAGGCGGUUAUUUAAGUCGGAUGUGAAAGCCCUGGGCUCAACCUGGGAACUGCAUUCGAAACUGGGUAACUAGAGUAUAAGAGAGGAUAGUGGAAUUUCAGGUGUAGCGGUGAAAUGCGUAGAGAUCUGAAGGAACAUCAGUGGCGAAGGCG